Molecule: ribosomal RNA, 119 nt
Filed under: Trichuris muris
Lineage: Eukaryota; Metazoa; Nematoda; Enoplea; Trichinellida; Trichuridae
Source: RNAcentral
GUCUACGGUCACACUAGGUUGAACGCACCGCAUACCGUCAGAUCUGCGAAGUUAAGUGACGUUAUGCAGAGUAAACACCGUUGUUGGAGACAACAUGGAAACCCCCGGUGUCAUAGACA